CAAUAGCGUAUAUUAAAGUUGUUGCAGUUAAAAGCUCGUAGUUGGACCUUGGACCUGGACAGGCGGUCCGCCUCACGGCGAGUACUGUCUUGCUGGGUCUUUCCUCUUGGUGAUCUGUUGUUUCGGCAGCAGGGAACCAGGACCUUUACUUUGAAAAAUUAGAGUGUUCAAAGCAGGCUCGACGCCGGAAUAUAUUAGCAUGGAAUAAUAAAAUAGGACGUGCGGUUCUAUUUUGUUUGGUUUUUGGUAAUCGCCGUAAUGAUUAAUAGGGACAGUCGGGGGCAUUAGUACUCACAUGCUAGAGGUGAAAUUCUUGGAUUUUGUGAAGACUAACUUCUGCGAAAGCAUUUGCCAAGGAUGUUUUCAUUAAUCAAGAACGAAGGUUAGGGUAUCGAAGACGAUUAGAUACCAU
RNAcentral lists this ribosomal RNA (412 nucleotides) under uncultured eukaryote. RNAcentral describes it as "SSU rRNA". It matches the Rfam family "Eukaryotic small subunit ribosomal RNA", at positions 592 to 1018 of the family's 1831-position model. The record is from RNAcentral.